This is a long non-coding RNA of Pongo pygmaeus (Bornean orangutan), 774 nucleotides long. RefSeq lists it as uncharacterized. NCBI's taxonomy places the organism in Eukaryota, Metazoa, Chordata, Mammalia, Primates, Hominidae. The transcript has 3 exons. The record is from RefSeq and is a predicted model, not a curated record.
GUGACAGCCUCAGCUGCGACAAGGGAGAGAAAACAGAAAGACCUGGGAAAGUGCAAGGAUGAAGCAAUUAAGUUUGAGAAAUGUGAUGUGAGGUUUAGGAAAGGUGGAUUUUAGCCCCAACAGACUUUUAGCUAGACACGGACCUAAUACCUUGAGACUUCAUUGUUCCCAUUAAAGAAAAAAUUAUCUUCUGACUUCCUAGGGGUUUGGGGAUCCCAGAUAUCAAAAGAUUUAAACCACUUAGGAGGUUUCCAUUGGAAGGAGAAGACUGUCUUUAGCCCACUGCAUCCCCUCAAUGCCAUCCCAAGCUUUCUCUGUGCCAGGGACUGGAUGCGCACUAAAAUAUGAACCUGUGUGUGGACUUCUUUCUUAGGAGCCUUUGCACCAGCACAAGAAAGAGACAGAGACAGUUACAGCAAGACUCAAGCACGCAUAUCUUGAUGGACUCCAAAAUGCUCUUCCCAAUUCCUUCUCUGCGGCUCAUUGUUCAUCCUCUAUUUGCGUUGGUAUGCCAGUCAUUGCUGACACUUCGGUGGAUGACUUGGAAGUGAUUUUAAAAAAAUUAUUACAUCAAUGUCAGUAUGACAGACUUUGCCAGUUCAAAUGUGUACUGCCUUGGAAGUGGCAUUGCAUGAGGAAAAAUUAUUUUCUAACAAAAAUAGGAAUAAAAUUCAAAAUUAUAUAUAAAAAUCUAAAAUGAAAAUGACAGAACCUGUAGUAACCUCUGCAUGAUGUAAAGGUGGUUGCAAUAAAAAUUGAGAGGAAAACUGAAAA